UACGUAGGGUGCGAGCGUUAAUCGGAAUUACUGGGCGUAAAGCGUGGGCAGGCGGUUUUGUAAGCCAGAUGUGAAAUCCCCGGGCUUAACCUGGGAAUGGCAUUUGGGACUGCAAGGCUCGAGUGCGGCAGAGGAGACUGGAAUUCCUGGUGUAGCAGUGAAAUGCGUAGAUAUCAGGAGGAACACCGAUGGCGAAGGCAGGUCUCUGGGCUGACACUGACGCUCAUGCACGAAAGCGUGGGGAGCAAACAGG
This 253-nucleotide ribosomal RNA is filed under the name uncultured bacterium. RNAcentral's name for it is "partial 16S ribosomal RNA". It matches the Rfam family "Bacterial small subunit ribosomal RNA", at positions 524 to 776 of the family's 1533-position model. The record is from RNAcentral.